Molecule: ribosomal RNA, 570 nt
Filed under: uncultured Actinomycetes bacterium
Lineage: Bacteria; Bacillati; Actinomycetota; Actinomycetes
Description: bacterial SSU rRNA
Rfam family: Bacterial small subunit ribosomal RNA
Source: RNAcentral
GCACCUUCGGGUGUGAAUUAGCGGCGAACGGGUGAGGAACACGUGAGAAAUCUGCCUUCAACACUGGGAUAACUCCGGGAAACCGGGGCUAAUACCGGAUAUGAAAUCUGCGAGCAUCCGCGGAUUUGGAAAGUUUUUCGGUUGAAGAUGAUCUCGCGGCCUAUCAGCUUGUUGGUGAGGUAAUGGCUCACCAAGGCGACGACGGGUAGCCGGCCUGAGAGGGCGACCGGCCACACUGGGACUGAGACACGGCCCAGACUCCUACGGGAGGCAGCAGUGGGGAAUAUUGGGCAAUGGAGGAAACUCUGACCCAGCGACGCCGCGUGCGGGAUGAAGGCCUUCGGGUUGUAAACCGCUUUCAGCAGGGAAGAAGCGAAAGUGACGGUACCUGCAGAAGAAGCACCGGCUAACUAUGUGCCAGCAGCCGCGGUAAUACAUAGGGUGCAAGCGUUGUCCGGAAUUAUUGGGCGUAAAGAGCUCGUAGGUGGUUCGUCACGUCGGAUGUGAAACUCUGGGGCUUAACCCCAGACCUGCAUUCGAUACGGGCGAGCUUGAGUAUGGUAGGGGAGU